Molecule: transfer RNA, 66 nt
Filed under: marine eukaryotic metagenome
Rfam family: tRNA
About the family: Transfer RNA (tRNA) molecules are approximately 80 nucleotides in length. Their secondary structure includes four short double-helical elements and three loops (D, anti-codon, and T loops). Further hydrogen bonds mediate the characteristic L-shaped molecular structure. tRNAs have two regions of fundamental functional importance: the anti-codon, which is responsible for specific mRNA codon recognition, and the 3' end, to which the tRNAs corresponding amino acid is attached (by aminoacyl-tRNA synthetases). tRNAs cope with the degeneracy of the genetic code in two manners: having more than one tRNA (with a specific anti-codon) for a particular amino acid; and 'wobble' base-pairing, i.e. permitting non-standard base-pairing at the 3rd anti-codon position.
Source: RNAcentral
GCCGUAGCUCAGCUGGUAGAGCAACUGAUUUGUAAUCAGUCGGUCGGGGGUUCGAGUCCCUUCGGU